RNAcentral lists this long non-coding RNA (806 nucleotides) under Rattus norvegicus (Norway rat). RNAcentral describes it as "long non-coding RNA NONRATT004962". Lineage: Eukaryota; Metazoa; Chordata; Mammalia; Rodentia; Muridae. The record is from RNAcentral.
GCGAGUCGCCUUCCUUCUCGGACUCCCUUCAUCUUUUGUUAGUGGGUACAUCCGAUGAAGCACUUAGUUUUUGUCCAAUUCGUUCUUUCUUGCUCACUCUGCAUACAUUUGCUUCUGCAUACUCAGGAGGGUCGUCAGUAAGGAGCAGCUGAUCCCGAUGUUGGUGUGGAGAGCGGCCUUCAGGACAGGGAUAAGCCAGUGACUGUCCUGUCUUGCCCUUGGGUUACUCUUGGCUGAGGUGAUGGGAAUACAAUAGAGGGGUGGGGGAAGAUGGUCCCAGAUCCAACCUUUAGCUACUGAGGCAGCGUCUGUGAGAGUGGAUUUUCCUUUAGGAGGACAGUUUAGAUGAGGAAACGAGCAGGGGAGGAAGAAAAUAUAUUAAAAGGUGAAGAGGUGAGAAGGAAUCUUGUCUGUUGCUGGAUGAGGCGUGUGGUGCUUGGGCGGCAGUGUUGGUCAGCACACGUCUGUAGCUGUUCUCGGGUGUCCUGAGGGGGGACCUCUAGAACUGCUCUGGCAUUGAGUACGCAGCACAGAGGGAUUGCACCCAUUCUCUUACAGGCAGUUUCAGUCCGGUCUCAGUGUCCGAGGACGGUAGGAACAAACAGCACAUGCCUGGCAGGUUGUUGCCUCGAGCUAGUUCUUUACCUCAGAGAUAUUCUGAAGCGGCCCACAGCAUUGGGAUAUUUCUCUUUGUUCAUUUCUGGUUGAAAUGACUUAAGUGCCUUCCUGACACCCUCACCACCUCCUUUGACUUGUGUAAUGGAAUUAAAUGUGCUUUCCAAAAGAACUGGCCAAAGGCUACCCGG